GACGAACGCUGGCGGCGUGCUUAACACAUGCAAGUCGAACGGAAAGGCCCUGCUUUUGUGGGGUUCUCGAUUGGCGAACGGGUGAGUAACACGUGUGUAACCUCCCCUUGACUUUGGGAUAACUCCAGGAAACUGCGGCUAAUACCCGAUAGGAUCUCCUGCACCAUGGUGGGGGUUGGAAAGUUUCGGCGUUUGGGGAUGGACUGGCGGCUUAUGAGCUUGUUGGUGUGGUAGUGGCUUACCAAGGGUUCGACGGAUAGCCGGCCUGAGAGGGUGACCGGCGACAAUGGGACUGAGAGACGGACCAGAAGCGUACGGGAGGCAGCGGGGGGAAGUAUUGCGCAGUGAGCGGGAGUCUGAUGCAGCAACGUCGCGUGCGGAAUGACGUGCUUCGGGUUGUAAACAGCUUUCGCCUGUGACGAAGCGUGAGUGACGGUAAUGGGUAAAGAAGCACCGGCUAACUACGUG
RNAcentral lists this ribosomal RNA (468 nucleotides) under uncultured bacterium. RNAcentral describes it as "partial 16S ribosomal RNA". It matches the Rfam family "Bacterial small subunit ribosomal RNA", at positions 28 to 507 of the family's 1533-position model. The record is from RNAcentral.